AAACCAACAGGGAUUGCCUUAGUAACUGCGAGUGAAGCGGCAAGAGCUCAAAUUUGAAAUCUGGCACCUUCGGUGUCCGAGUUGUAAUUUGUAGAAGCAUCUUUUGGAUUGGUCCUUGCAUAUGUUCCUUGGAACAGGACAUCAUAGAGGGUGAGAAUCCCGUUCAUGGUGGGGAAUCCAAUUCUUUGUAAAGUGCUUUCGAAGAGUCGAGUUGUUUGGGAAUGCAGCUCUAAGUGGGUGGUAAAUUCCAUCUAAAGCUAAAUAUUGGCGAGAGACCGAUAGCGAACAAGUACAGUGAUGGAAAGAUGAAAAGAACUCCGAAAGGAGAGUGAAAAAGGACGUGAAAUUGUUGAAAGGGAAGUGCUUGAGAUCAGUCUUAAGGUUUAGUGAUCAGUCUUCCUUUUGGUUGGUGCACUCACUAUUUCUUAGGCCAACAUCAGUUUUCGCGGCAGGAUAAUGACAUUGGAAUGUGGCUCUUUCGGGAGUGUUAUAGCCUUUGUUGAUACUGCCUGCUUAGACUGAGGACCGCGCUUUUGCUAGGAUGUUGGCAUAAUGAUCUUAAGCAGCCC
Molecule: ribosomal RNA, 569 nt
Filed under: Lipomyces tetrasporus
Lineage: Eukaryota; Fungi; Ascomycota; Lipomycetes; Lipomycetales; Lipomycetaceae
Description: partial large subunit ribosomal RNA
Rfam family: Eukaryotic large subunit ribosomal RNA
Source: RNAcentral